Molecule: ribosomal RNA, 301 nt
Filed under: uncultured bacterium
Lineage: Bacteria
Description: partial 16S ribosomal RNA
Rfam family: Bacterial small subunit ribosomal RNA
Source: RNAcentral
CAGUCGCCACGGUAAUACGAAGGGGGCUAGCGUUGCUCGGAAUGACUGGGCGUAAAGGGCGCGUAGGCGGCGGCCAAAGUCAGGCGUGAAAUUCCUGGGCUCAACCUGGGGGCUGCGCUUGAUACUUGGUUGCUUGAGUGGGGAAGAGGGUCGUGGAAUUCCCAGUGUAGAGGUGAAAUUCGUAGAUAUUGGGAAGAACACCGGUGGCGAAGGCGGCGACCUGGUCCUUUACUGACGCUGAGGCGCGAAAGCGUGGGGAGCAAACAGGAUUAGAGACCCCCGUAGUCCCUGUCUCUUAUAC